This 1605-nucleotide long non-coding RNA is filed under the name Gallus gallus (chicken). Lineage: Eukaryota; Metazoa; Chordata; Aves; Galliformes; Phasianidae. The record is from RNAcentral.
GGGCUUCCCCAGAUGGGCAGUAAGGCUUAACGAAUGGUGGUUUUUGUUUUUAAACUAAGAAUCAUUUGUAAUCAUAGCUCUUAGCACCUUUCACUUGAUUUUAGAGCUGAACCUACAGUGAAAUACCCAUACAGUACACCGGAACUUGAGAUCAUUUCCACCUUAAAUUACAAUCACGAAGAGGAAUUGAAAGUCAGACUCCAAAAGGCAGGCGGUUUGCCCCCACAUCCCAUCUGGAUCCAUUUAAUUCCUGCUGUGAGGGCACCUAUUACACUGGGAAACCUCACACGGCCAUCUCCAUGACCAACGUGUCACUAUUCAGCUCGUGCUGCCAUCUCAGAAAGGCAAAGCUUCCAACUUCUCACGUACAGUGUUUUCCUCUAGGUGACGUAUAGGCCUUGGUAUACUCUGCAUUUCAACGAUGAGCUACUACAAAAUUAGAUCAUCUCCUUUGGAAAACCAACUACAAGGUCAUAGGGGUAGUUCCAUAAUGAGGGCGUAUUAAUAAUGUCUUCUUUAAAAAAAAAAAAACAAACACUGAAGUGUCAUUUUAAUGAAAUCAAAGCAGUAGCAUCCGGGAAUAGAGCAUCAAUAAAAGAAACAAGCACUGUCAAUGACGUCUCUCUUCUUUGUGGGGUUUUUUUUUUCCUAUUCACCCUCCUUUUUCUUUCCCCAGCACAUUCAAGUGUUCUCAUUUUUGGCAUUUUCUUCCACAUACCAUCUCCUGAUGCCACCUCAUUCAGAGCCAUUUCUUCUCCCUGCUCGGUCUACAUGCUCAGUUCCUAAGUACAGUCUCACACAGCAGGUGAAGAGUCUCCUUUAUAGCACUGGCAUAAGCACUCAUUAAAUACCACGUGGCUGCACACUUCAUUGAGCCUCCACCUCUCCCGAAUGCUCUCUUCCUCCUGCUUAAGGAAACCCAGGUCCUUCACAUCACCGUGCAACUCUUUGCUUUGUCCUUUCUCAAGUCUGUAGCCACUGUAGAAAGUUCUGGCCUGCCAGGCAUGUGUGAAAUUCGCUUUGUUGCCCUCUGUGAUUUGUUUCGUUUCACGUUUUUGUUUGUUUUAUUCACACACGCCAAGGUGGCAACAUGAAAAAUGUCUCUGACACUGUUUUCUGACUGUAAGGCUGAGCAUUCAAUGUACGUAGCUGCUCCAAUCUGUUUGGCCAUAUUUGCACCCUGGUCAUAGGACACGGGUGUCUGCCUGUGAUUGGAGAGUUCUACUAGUGUGCUUACAUCCGUGCGCAGGUCCGAUUUGCAACCAACCAAAAGCAUUUUGGUAUUUGGACAGAACUCCUGGAUUUCUCCUUUCCACUUUUUUAGCACGCUGUCAAGAGUCUCUGGACGACUGAUGUCAAAGCAGAUCAAAACCGCAUCGGAGUCUGGGUAAGAGAGUGGACGGACAUUGUCGUAAUAAGGAGACCCUGCAGGGAAACAAGAAAACGUUAUCAGUCUGCGUUUCAUUUUCUGCAGUUACUCAUACUUAAUCAGAACAUUUAGGAAGAGUUCCAGUGAAGAUCUAUACCAGCACCUUCUCCUCAGCACUGUAUUCGUGACACAUGAGAUUGAAUUGCUCAAUUCCCCCUCUUGUCUUUUGCUUUUCA